Molecule: ribosomal RNA, 468 nt
Filed under: uncultured bacterium
Lineage: Bacteria
Description: partial 16S ribosomal RNA
Rfam family: Bacterial small subunit ribosomal RNA
Source: RNAcentral
GACGAACGCUGGCGGCGUGCUUAACACAUGCAAGUCGAACGGACAGACGCUGCUCUUGUGGGUUGCUCGAGAGGCGAACGCGUGAGUAACACGUGAGUAAAAUGCACUUGACUUUGGGGUAACUUCAGGGGACAGGGGCUCAUACAGGAUAGGAGAUCAUGAUGCGCAGGGGGGGUUGGUAAAUUUCGGCGGUUGGGGCUGGAAUCGAGGCUUAUCCGCUUGAUGGUGGGGUAGUGGCUUACCAAGGCUUUGAAGGGUAGCCGGCAUGAGAGGGUGACCGGCCACAUGGGGACUGAGAGACGGCCCAGACUCCUACGGGAGGCAGCAGUGGGGAAUCUGGCACAAUGGGCGGAAGCCUGAUGCAGCAACGCCGCGUGCGGGAUGACGGCCUUCGGGUGGUAAACCGCUUUCGCCUGUGACGAAGCGGGAGUGACGGUAAUGGGUAAAGAAGCACCGGCUAACUACGUG